AGUUGGAGAAACUAAGGUUGCUCAUAAUUAUCUCGAGUUACAAUCAGCAUAAGAACUUUAAGGAAAUGGUGAUAUCUGCUGAAUCUGAGGAUCUCAUGAAGGAUCUCCUUCAUUUCCUAGAUACUCAUGCUUCACAUCUACCACUUCAUGCAUUGUAUCAUCCAGGUCUAGGUGAUGAGAUGAGAGCAUUUACAAUUGACAAUGUUCCAUCAAGGACAACCAUGGAGCAGCUGCUACAAGAUUUUUGUACUAAUUAUUAAUGCUUUGUUGUCUCUCUAAAGCAACCUGUCUAUGAACAAAUGGAUCAUUAUGACUAAUUACACAAAUGGGGAAGA
Helianthus annuus (common sunflower) is the source of this 335-nucleotide long non-coding RNA. RefSeq lists it as uncharacterized. The record is from RefSeq and is a predicted model, not a curated record. Lineage: Eukaryota; Viridiplantae; Streptophyta; Magnoliopsida; Asterales; Asteraceae. The transcript has 3 exons.